UUCCACUAGUUUGUCCACCGGUGAAAAGGAGAAGCCAGCCAAGAACCAGCAGCUUCUGGCUACCUUGAUCAGAAGGUUGAUGAAGGCAAUGAAACAGAGAUGGAAAAACACAUCACACAGGCCCUUACCAGAUGCCAGCAUCUUGAUAUUGGACUUCCUAGCCUUCAGAACUCAAUUAUAAAGAUAUGCUAAUGCUUUGCACCAAGUGGCAGCUACAUGCUUGAGACCAACACUGAAAAUCAGUCAUGGAAUCACUGCAUAUCUGAACAAUCUCAUGGCAUAUCUCAUGUGCGCCAUGAGAGGAGGCACAGGUGGGUCAACUGACUUGAGCAGAGCCACCCAGCAAAUUCAGUGUUGGAGUGUGGUCCUUUGCCUGAGAAUCUCUACAAAGAGGAGCAUCUGAUGAGGAAAUGAGAACUCCAGCCAGAAACCAGCAAUAAAUUGAGGGCUCCUAUGAGCAAUGCAUUCUCCAGCCCCAAUCAAGCCUUUGGAUAACUGCAGCUCCUGCCAGCAUUUUGAUUGCACUUCAUGAAAGACUUUGAGUCAGAGCCACCUACCUAAGCCACUCCAAAAUUCCUGACCGUCAAAAACUUUGAGAUAAUAAAUGUUUGUCGUUUUAAACUAC
RNAcentral lists this long non-coding RNA (625 nucleotides) under Pongo abelii (Sumatran orangutan). RNAcentral describes it as "lincRNA". Lineage: Eukaryota; Metazoa; Chordata; Mammalia; Primates; Hominidae. The record is from RNAcentral.